Molecule: small nucleolar RNA, 69 nt
Organism: Xyrauchen texanus (razorback sucker)
Lineage: Eukaryota; Metazoa; Chordata; Actinopteri; Cypriniformes; Catostomidae
Product: small nucleolar RNA SNORD18
Exons: 1
Source: RefSeq, a predicted model, not a curated record
UUACAAUGAUGAUUUUCUAUCUUCAGGUCCGUGUUUCUGACUUGUGAUUACAUUGGAAGUCCUGAGCCA